RNAcentral lists this ribosomal RNA (565 nucleotides) under uncultured Gammaproteobacteria bacterium. RNAcentral describes it as "bacterial SSU rRNA". It matches the Rfam family "Bacterial small subunit ribosomal RNA", at positions 362 to 918 of the family's 1533-position model. Lineage: Bacteria; Pseudomonadati; Pseudomonadota; Gammaproteobacteria. The record is from RNAcentral.
UAUUGGACAAUGGGCGAAAGCCUGAUCCAGCAAUGCCGCGUGUGUGAAGAAGGCCUGAGGGUUGUAAAGCACUUUCAAUUGGGAGGAAAAGCUCAAGGUUAAUAGCCUUGAGUCUUGACGUUACCUUUAGAAGAAGCACCGGCUAACUCCGUGCCAGCAGCCGCGGUAAUACGGAGGGUGCAAGCGUUAAUCGGAAUUACUGGGCGUAAAGCGCGCGUAGGUGGCCUAGUCAGUCGGAUGUGAAAGCCCCGGGCUCAACCUGGGAAUUGCAUUCGAUACUGCUAAACUAGAGUCUGGUAGAGGGAAGUGGAAUUCCGGGUGUAGCGGUGAAAUGCGUAGAUAUCCGGAGGAACAUCAGUGGCGAAGGCGACUUCCUGGACCAAGACUGACACUGAGGUGCGAAAGCGUGGGUAGCAAACAGGAUUAGAUACCCUGGUAGUCCACGCCGUAAACGAUGAGAACUAGACGUUGGGGAGCUUUGUCUCUUUAGUGUCGUAGCUAACGCGUUAAGUUCUCCGCCUGGGGAGUACGGUCGCAAGAUUAAAACUCAAAGGAAUUGACGGCC